GCCACCGCACCCGGCCCUUUUGUUGUUAAUUUUUAAAUUUUGUGGCUAAUUUUUAAAUUUUUGUAGAGAUGGGGUCUGGCUAUGUUGCCCAGGCUGGUCUUGAACUUCUGGCCUCAAGCAAUCAUCCUGCCUUGGCUUUCCAAAGUGCUGGGAUUACAGAUGUGAGCUAAGACACCCAGCUCCAUGGAGUUGGUCUUAACUGCCAUGGCCAAGGGACAUGUGGCUGCUUCUCUCUGAGUCAGAAAAUAUGGGUAAAAAGCCUCCUCACAGGGCAGCUGUGGACAUUCAGUAUGAAAAUGCUGAAAGAGAUCGGGAAUGGUCUCUUUCACACCUGUAAUCCCAGCACUUUGGGAGGUGGAGGCGGG
RNAcentral lists this long non-coding RNA (365 nucleotides) under Homo sapiens (human). RNAcentral describes it as "non-protein coding lnc-PDE4A-3:1". The record is from RNAcentral. Lineage: Eukaryota; Metazoa; Chordata; Mammalia; Primates; Hominidae.